UCCCUGCUAUCUCAGAUGGUAAAGAGCCUGCCUGCAACACAGGAGACCUAGGUUCGAUCCCUGGGUCAGGAA
RNAcentral lists this transfer RNA (72 nucleotides) under Bos taurus (domestic cattle). It matches the Rfam family "tRNA". Rfam says of the family: Transfer RNA (tRNA) molecules are approximately 80 nucleotides in length. Their secondary structure includes four short double-helical elements and three loops (D, anti-codon, and T loops). Further hydrogen bonds mediate the characteristic L-shaped molecular structure. tRNAs have two regions of fundamental functional importance: the anti-codon, which is responsible for specific mRNA codon recognition, and the 3' end, to which the tRNAs corresponding amino acid is attached (by aminoacyl-tRNA synthetases). tRNAs cope with the degeneracy of the genetic code in two manners: having more than one tRNA (with a specific anti-codon) for a particular amino acid; and 'wobble' base-pairing, i.e. permitting non-standard base-pairing at the 3rd anti-codon position. RNAcentral also lists the same sequence under 2 other names. Lineage: Eukaryota; Metazoa; Chordata; Mammalia; Artiodactyla; Bovidae. The record is from Rfam by way of RNAcentral.